This 254-nucleotide ribosomal RNA is filed under the name uncultured bacterium. RNAcentral's name for it is "partial 16S ribosomal RNA". It matches the Rfam family "Bacterial small subunit ribosomal RNA", at positions 524 to 776 of the family's 1533-position model. The record is from RNAcentral.
UACGUAGGGGGCGAGCGUUGUCCGGAUUCAUUGGGCGUAAAGAGCUCGUAGGCGGCUUGGCAAGUCGGGUGUGAAAACUCCAGGCUCAACCUGGAGAUGCCACCCGAUACUGCUAUGGCUUGAGUUCGGUAGGGGACCACGGAAUUCCUGGUGUAGCGGUGAAAUGCGCAGAUAUCAGGAGGAACACCGGUGGCGAAGGCGGUGGUCUGGGCCGACACUGACGUUGAGGAGCGAAAGCGUGGGGAGCGAACAGG